CAAAAAGAUGAGUACUCUUCGUCUAGUGGUCAAUAAAUAGAUCCGAACAAGCAUUGAGGGCAACUCGGGUGGUAGCUCUCAAUUUCAACAUCGUCUGAGGGAUGGAUUAGGGGUGAGUUCUAUGAAAUUUAGUAAGGGAUACAGUAUUUAAAUCAUAUUAUUAAAGUUUCAAGAGUUAGAUUUUAAUUUUAAAAGUAAGCAUUUUAAUUUUAAAAGUAAGCAAUCCAAUAUCACUUUAAUCUAAUUAACCUUACCUUCAAAGAUCAUCAAAUAUCACCAGUUUAGAUAUUUCGAAAAACCUUUUAAUUUAGUUACGAAGAUCAUUUAAAAUACAUAUCCAAAUUCAUAGGCAUAAUGAUAGAACAGUGAGAAACAUAUGUCAUCAAGAAGCGAAACAAUAAAUAAACAAUAAACAUCAACAAUAAUCGUAGACCUAACAAAUCAAUCGUUUAUUUUAGUUUAAUUUUACAAAUCUUCGCACGAAGCUGUUAGGGCCUAUAUCAACUAAGGGCAGAGAGGAUUCCCCAACUACCAUUGUGAUUGGAAAAUAAUGUAAUACAGUACGAUCUAUUGAUCAAUAUUCUAUGACUAGGGUGCCACUGUGGCCCUUACAGUUAUCAUGAUCUGUGCUCGUAAGAGGGGACGAUGGUAUCAUUCACAGGGAGUGGUUCACCAACAGUCGGUAAUGGUCAAAUUAGAUAACCCCUUAGUGAUAACGGUUAACGAAUUUCAGUCAUCUAUUUCAUUUUUAGACAUAAAAUAAGAUAGUAAUUCAAUAACAGAAUUCAAAACAAUUAAAUUUCAAACCAAUUUAGGCUCCGUGGAACCCUUUACCCAAACCCAGACCCGAUAAGGGCCUCUUAUACAAACCAGACCCACUGAUGGCCCACUAAACCGAACCGAACUAAAAAGGGAUUCUUCAAACCAUCCCAGCCUAACAAGGGCUCCUAAACUAACUUGGAUCUAAAGAGGAUCUGUUUGACCAAAAUUCGGACCCAAAAGGGAUCCGUUGACUUAAAUUGGGUCCAAUGCUAACCCUUUGACCUGAACUCGAAUCCAAAAUGGAUCCAUUUACCUAACCCAGCACAGGACUCAAUGGGGGGUCUAUUGACCAACCCGACACGUUAACUGACCUAGCCCAACUGAGAGCCCAUUUGACUUACCUGGACCGGUUAAGGUCUAUUAAGCUAACCCAGCCGACAAAGGCCUAACUCGGAUCAAACCCAGAUCCAUUAGGAUCUUUAAAACACUUUCGGCCCACCAAGGCCCAACCUAAGCCUAAAACCCAGACCAUUAAGGUCCUUAGACAACUGGGCCAUUGGUUUUUCUUUUUGGGCCGAGGUCUAUUUGGGAAACCCUCUCAAUUAUCACCUUGUGAGUGAGGCCUAGGGCCCAAGCCCAGGCCCAAUUGGAAUGCCCCACAACUCGUGCAUGCCAACAGGCCCAACUAUAUGCCAAGCUGUACAUGUAGUGUGCCACGGACAGCUAUCCUGGCAGUUUGGCCUGUGGAGACAAGCCUUUCUGCACACAGUGCGCCUGAACACUCGACCAUGCAACACUGCCACAUGCACAAGAGCCUAUCGGCAUGUUGGCAUGCUUGGCAGACCUACAGGCACACACACACAUGCAUGCAUUCUCGUGCGCGCACCAAUGUACGUACACCUUGGCAAACCAGUGCCUUCACUAUUUUGAACCCAUUCCUAUCAUUUUCAUCAUGUGUUUUCCCUCAUUUUCAAUCAAAAUCAUUAUUAAUCAUCAUAAAAAUACCUUGCAUAUCAAAUUCACACUUCACUUGUAUCUAAACCAAAACAAUCACCAAAUAAUUACCAUGCAUUCCAAAAAUCAUGUGCAAAGAUAGUUCAAUCCCUUUUUAUGGUUGUAAAAUCCUAUAAAUAAGCAAUUAAAACAUGCAGAGAAAUACUAGGUCCCUUAUCUUCAGUUUAAAGUCCUCAAGUUUUAGAGAAAUAAAGCUACAUGGGAUGGUUCGAAUAGGAGAGCUUGAUGUAGCAGCAUGUUGUAAAAAUGCUCUCAGUUUGCAAAGAAAAUCUACAGAUGAUGGAGGUAGAGGAAGAGAAGAAGAAAGAAAGAAGAAGAAGUCUCAGUUAAGUGACUUAACACUCUGAAAGGAAUGAAAAAAUUUGGAAAAAGAUAAGCAAACUCACCGUGCGAUCAAGCUUGAUUGAUUCUGCAUGGUGAGAAUGGACGGAGUGCAUGACCCUUCAAUGUAUUCCUUCCUGUAUCACUCUUUCUCUCUGUUGAAG
This 2261-nucleotide long non-coding RNA is filed under the name Carica papaya (papaya). RNAcentral's name for it is "long non-coding RNA (CPAP_LNC002525)". Lineage: Eukaryota; Viridiplantae; Streptophyta; Magnoliopsida; Brassicales; Caricaceae. The record is from RNAcentral.